RNAcentral lists this ribosomal RNA (301 nucleotides) under uncultured bacterium. Its description in RNAcentral is "partial 16S ribosomal RNA". It matches the Rfam family "Bacterial small subunit ribosomal RNA", at positions 509 to 807 of the family's 1533-position model. The record is from RNAcentral.
CAGUCGCCACGGUAACACGUAGGGCGCAAGCGUUAUCCGGAAUUAUUGGGCGUAAAGAGCUCGUAGGCGGUUUGUCGCGUCUGCCGUGAAAGUCCGGGGCUCAACCCCGGAUCUGCGGUGGGUACGGGCAGACUAGAGUGAUGUAGGGGAGACUGGAAUUCCUGGUGUAGCGGUGAAAUGCGCAGAUAUCAGGAGGAACACCGAUGGCGAAGGCAGGUCUCUGGGCAUUAACUGACGCUGAGGAGCGAAAGCAUGGGGAGCGAACAGGAUUAGAUACCCCGGUAGUCCCUGUCUCUUAUAC